CACCCAGCACAGGAGGAUUGCCGCGGGUGGGGUGAGAAGAGGGGACCACAGGCAAACCUGCCCCACCUGGCCCAGUGUGAUGGCUCCAGGACCGGGUGCGGCGGCAGCUCCGGCUCUGCCCACGUGUCUAGGUCUCUACUAGCCACUCCCCAGGUUCUCUCUCCUGCACCCAAGGGUGCUCAUCUUCCCCUGCUGCCAAGUGACUUUGCAGCCCCUUCUCUCCCUUCUUUUACUUCAUUGCUAGAACGUUGGGUUGUGCCAGUUCCCUGGUUCUAACCUUGGGUUCUCUUACCCACGUUCUGCUUCUCCUCCUCGCCACUCUCCUCAAUUGAACAUUUCCUCCAGAAAUCCCAUCGUGGCUCUACAAGUUGUAAGAAGUUGAGCACAUUAGUGUCAUAACAGAAAGGCGGAAGUAUACCAUCUCUUGAAGCUGCAGGUAGAAUUUCAGGGCAGCGGGUGCGGUCAGGGAUGAGGUCACAAUGCUUCCUUCUGUUUGGAGGGCAGAGCAUUGGACGUGAUGAGCAGGGCCAGAAAGGAAGUUCAAUGUUCCUCACAUUGAGACAACUUGGGGGACCAGAGAGGUUUGUCCCACAUCAGGGGGAUCCCUCAAAGAGAGGUCUGCCUGGAAGGACUUGAACAUUAGUGAGGAACCCUGGGGAUGCUGGUGGGAGCCCAGAGCUCGGAAGAACUUCAUUCUCAGCAAAGAUUGUGCAGUGGGCAUCACCGGACAGCAUCUCACUCCUGCAGUGAUUAGUAUAAAUCAGGAAACCUACAUCGGCUUCAAAGAGUUCUUCCCACUUGGUCACUAUGUAGAGAAGGAGUGGCAUGGAAGGGAAAACUGCAGAAGCAGUGCCAUGGACAACGCUUUUAUUAUAAAUUUGGCACCUUCAGAUUCAGAGCCUAUCAGCUUCCAGAGCUCCUCUCUCGCUCUCUCGCUCUCUCUCUCUCUCUCUCUCUCUCUCUCUCUCUCUCUCUCUCAACAUGAGUGGUCAGAUUUCCAUACACAUUUUUGAAUUGAAAUACAUGACUUAAAAGUCCCAAUCUCGGGACCCCUGGGUGACUCAGUCAGUUAAGCAUCCGACUGUAACUUACAGCUUGUAAGUUCAACCCCCACAUCUGGCUCUGUGCUAACAGUUCUGAGCCUGCUUCGAAUUCUGUGUCUCCCUCUUUUUCUCUACCCCUCCCCUGGUCAUGCUCUGUCUCUCUCUGUGUCAAAAAUAAAUAAUCAUUAAAGAAUUUUUUUUUAAGUCCCAAUCUCAAAAUUU
RNAcentral lists this long non-coding RNA (1265 nucleotides) under Suricata suricatta (meerkat). Its description in RNAcentral is "lncRNA (ENSSSUG00005012397.1)". The record is from RNAcentral. Lineage: Eukaryota; Metazoa; Chordata; Mammalia; Carnivora; Herpestidae.